CCCUUUUCCACAACUAUAAAUAGGAGUCUCAUAAUUCAAAAAAAAAAAAAACAAGAACUCUAACAAGAAGCAAGAGAAAGCUCGUGGAUCAAAUGCUACAAUUUCUCUACAAAGCUCAAGCAUUAAAAUCCAAUUCAUCAAGAUUUAAGAUCAAGACCACAAAAUUCAAGAACAAGCUCAAAAGCCCUUGAAUUCAAGCGCAAGUUAAGAUCAAGUCCAUCAAUCAACAAAUCAAGUUCA
RNAcentral lists this long non-coding RNA (240 nucleotides) under Capsicum annuum. RNAcentral's name for it is "long non-coding RNA (CANN_LNC001719)". The record is from RNAcentral. Lineage: Eukaryota; Viridiplantae; Streptophyta; Magnoliopsida; Solanales; Solanaceae.